RNAcentral lists this ribosomal RNA (505 nucleotides) under uncultured bacterium. RNAcentral describes it as "partial 16S ribosomal RNA". It matches the Rfam family "Bacterial small subunit ribosomal RNA", at positions 30 to 523 of the family's 1533-position model. The record is from RNAcentral.
AUUGAACGCUGGCGGCAUGCCUUACACAUGCAAGUCGAACGGCAGCAUGGAGAGCUUGCUCUCUGAUGGCGAGUGGCGAACGGGUGAGUAAUGCAUCGGAACGUACCGUGUAAUGGGGGAUAACGUAGCGAAAGUUACGCUAAUACCGCAUACGACCUGAGGGUGAAAGCAGGGGAUCGCAAGACCUUGCGUUAUACGAGCGGCCGAUGUCAGAUUAGCUAGUUGGUGAGGUAAAGGCUCACCAAGGCGACGAUCUGUAGCGGGUCUGAGAGGAUGAUCCGCCACACUGGGACUGAGACACGGCCCAGACUCCUACGGGAGGCAGCAGUGGGGAAUUUUGGACAAUGGGGGCAACCCUGAUCCAGCCAUGCCGCGUGAGUGAAGAAGGCCUUCGGGUUGUAAAGCUCUUUAGUCGGGGAGGAUGGUAGAGCAGGUUAAGAGCUAGCUUUGCUGACGUUACCCGAAGAAUAAGCACCGGCUAACUCCGUGCCAGCCGCCGCAGUAA